GAUGAACGCUGGCGGCGUGCCUAAUACAUGCAAGUCGAACGCAUUGAGAGAAGUGCUUGCACUUUUCAAUUUGAGUGGCGAACGGGUGAGUAACACGUGGGCAACCUACCUGAUAGCGGGGGAUAACGAGUGGAAACAUUCGCUAAUACCGCAUAACAAUAGAGAAGGCAUCUUCUCUAUUUAAAAGGCGCUUUCAAGCGUCACUAUCAGAUGGGCCCGCGGUGCAUUAGUUAGUUGGUGGGGUGAAGGCCUACCAAGACGAUGAUGCAUAGCCGGGUUGAGAGACUGAUCGGCCACAUUGGGACUGAGACACGGCCCAAACUCCUACGGGAGGCUGCAGUAGGGAAUCUUCCACAAUGGACGAAAGUCUGAUGGAGCAACGCCGCGUGUGUGAUGAAGGCUUUCGGGUCGUAAAGCACAGUUGUAUGGGAAGAAAUGCUAGGCUAGGAAAUGAGCUUAGUUUGACGGUACCAUACCAGAAAGGGACGACUAAAUACGUGCCAGCAGCCGCCGUAA
This 516-nucleotide ribosomal RNA is filed under the name uncultured bacterium. Its description in RNAcentral is "partial 16S ribosomal RNA". It matches the Rfam family "Bacterial small subunit ribosomal RNA", at positions 28 to 523 of the family's 1533-position model. The record is from RNAcentral.